This is a small nucleolar RNA of Ornithorhynchus anatinus (platypus), 138 nucleotides long. Lineage: Eukaryota; Metazoa; Chordata; Mammalia; Monotremata; Ornithorhynchidae. The record is from RefSeq and is a predicted model, not a curated record.
CUCCUUUCAGGAUGGCACCUGGAGUGUUUCCAGUAUACUACCAGUCUCAGCUAUGGGAGGCAGAGUCAAGCAGAGGCAAAUGUAUUCCAUUCCUAGCUUGGCCAGUGGCUAGUGAGUGGAAGGCAAUCUGCUACAAGU